RNAcentral lists this ribosomal RNA (467 nucleotides) under uncultured bacterium. Its description in RNAcentral is "partial 16S ribosomal RNA". It matches the Rfam family "Bacterial small subunit ribosomal RNA", at positions 28 to 506 of the family's 1533-position model. The record is from RNAcentral.
GAUGAACGCUGGCGGCGUGCUUAACACAUGCAAGUCGAACGGAAAGGCCCAAGCUUGCUUGGGUACUCGAGUGGCGAACGGGUGAGUAACACGUGGGUGAUCUGCCCUGCACUUCGGGAUAAGCCUGGGAAACUGGGUCUAAUACCGGAUAGGACGAUGGUUUGGAUGCCAUUGUGGAAAGUUUUUUCGGUGUGGGAUGAGCUCGCGGCCUAUCAGCUUGUUGGUGGGGUAAUGGCCUACCAAGGCGUCGACGGGUAGCCGGCCUGAGAGGGUGUACGGCCACAUUGGGACUGAGAUACGGCCCAGACUCCUACGGGAGGCAGCAGUGGGGAAUAUUGCACAAUGGGCGCAAGCCUGAUGCAGCGACGCCGCGUGGGGGAUGACGGCCUUCGGGUUGUAAACUCCUUUCGCUAGGGACGAAGCGCUUUUGUGACGGUACCUGGAGAAGAAGCACCGGCUAACUACGU